RNAcentral lists this ribosomal RNA (292 nucleotides) under uncultured microorganism. Its description in RNAcentral is "partial 16S ribosomal RNA". It matches the Rfam family "Bacterial small subunit ribosomal RNA", at positions 505 to 796 of the family's 1533-position model. The record is from RNAcentral.
GUGCCAGCAGCCGCGGUAAUACGAAGGGUGCAAGCGUUAAUCGGAAUUACUGGGCGUAAAGCGCACGCAGGCGGUCUGUCAAGUCGGAUGUGAAAUCCCCGGGCUCAACCUGGGAACUGCAUCCGAAACUGGCAGGCUAGAGUCUUGUAGAGGGGGGUAGAAUUCCAGGUGUAGCGGUGAAAUGCGUAGAGAUCUGGAGGAAUACCGGUGGCGAAGGCGGCCCCCUGGACAAAGACUGACGCUCAGGUGCGAAAGCGUGGGGAGCAAACAGGAUUAGAUACCCUGGUAGUCC